RNAcentral lists this ribosomal RNA (434 nucleotides) under uncultured bacterium. Its description in RNAcentral is "partial 16S ribosomal RNA". It matches the Rfam family "Bacterial small subunit ribosomal RNA", at positions 29 to 507 of the family's 1533-position model. The record is from RNAcentral.
AGCGAACGCUGGCGGCAGGCCUAACACAUGCAAGUCGAACGAACCUUUCGGGGUUAGUGGCGGACGGGUGAGUAACACGUGGGAACGUGCCUUUAGGUUCGGAAUAACUCAGGGAAACUUGUGCUAAUACCGAAUGUGCCCUUCGGGGGAAAGAUUUAUCGCCUUUAGAGCGGCCCGCGUCUGAUUAGCUAGUUGGUUGAGGUAAUGGCUCACCAAGGCGAAGAUCAGUAGCUGUUCUGAGAGGAUGAUCAGCCACAUUGGGACUGAGACACGGCCCAAACUCCUACGGGAGGGAGCAGUGGGGAAUCUUGCGCAAUGGGCGAAAGCCUGACGCAGCCAUGCCGCGUGAAUGAUGAAGGUCUUAGGAUUGUAAAAUUCUUUCACCGGGGACGAUAAUGACGGUACCCGGAGAAGAAGCCCCGGCUAACUUCGUG